Molecule: unclassified non-coding RNA, 345 nt
Filed under: soil metagenome
Description: partial contains 5.8S ribosomal RNA, internal transcribed spacer 2, and large subunit ribosomal RNA
Rfam family: 5.8S ribosomal RNA (bases 1-120)
Source: RNAcentral
GAUGAAGAACGUAGCGAAAUGCGAUACGUAAUGUGAAUUGCAGAAUUCAAUGAAUCAUCGAGUCUUUGAACGCACAUUGCGCCCCCUGGUAUUCCGGGGGGCAUGCCUGUCCGAGCGUCAUUGCUGCCCUCAAGCACGGCUUGUGUGUUGGGCCUCCGUCCUCCUCCCGGGGGACGGGCCCGAAAGGCAGCGGCGGCACCGCGUCCGGUCCUCGAGCGUAUGGGGCUUCGUCACCCGCUCUUGUAGGCCCGGCCGGCGCUUGCCGACACAUCAAUCUUUUUUCCAGGUUGACCUCGGAUCAGGUAGGGAUACCCGCUGAACUUAAGCAUAUCAAUAAGCGGAGGA